UACAGAGGGGGCAAGCGUUGUUCGGAAUUACUGGGCGUAAAGGGCGCGUAGGCGGCCUGCUAAGUCGAACGUGAAAUCCCCGGGCUCAACCCGGGAACUGCGUCCGAUACUGGCAGGCUUGAAUCCGGGAGAGGGAUGUGGAAUUCCAGGUGUAGCGGUGAAAUGCGUAGAUAUCUGGAGGAACACCGGUGGCGAAGGCGGCAUCCUGGACCGGCAUUGACGCUGAGACGCGAAAGCGUGGGGAGCAAACAGG
This 253-nucleotide ribosomal RNA is filed under the name uncultured bacterium. RNAcentral's name for it is "partial 16S ribosomal RNA". It matches the Rfam family "Bacterial small subunit ribosomal RNA", at positions 524 to 776 of the family's 1533-position model. The record is from RNAcentral.